RNAcentral lists this ribosomal RNA (1922 nucleotides) under Triticum aestivum (bread wheat). RNAcentral's name for it is "partial small subunit ribosomal RNA". The record is from RNAcentral. Lineage: Eukaryota; Viridiplantae; Streptophyta; Magnoliopsida; Poales; Poaceae.
GACUAGGGUAAAAGAUACAUCCGGGAAUAUGGAACGGGGUAUAAUGAUAGCGCAUGGUGGUAGCGUCAGGGUGUGUGAGCCCUUUCUCUCCGCCCCGGUUGCAGCUGCCGCCGUAUCGAGGCCGCUCGCCGCCGGCCGUAACAGGAACGCUAGGUGCGCGAGUGCCCCCUUUAAAGUGGUGGGUGCGGGAAGGCGAGGGGCCGUCGUCGCGCCGUGGUGUUAAGUGUUUGGGGAUGAGAUGUGGGGGUCUCGUCCGCCGCAGAAGGGGGAGGCGGAGGUACGGCAGGGGCAGGAGGAGGAGGAGGGGGGUGGCCUUCGAAGAGGUGAGGCAUUAGGGGAGAGGGUUGAGUUUUAGGUGGGGCUAAGGCGGGAAGAUGAGGGGAGGAGUGUCGCAGAGGCAAAGUCAACUAAACGACCCGCCACGUCGCCACGGCCUACAGCCUCAGCGGCACGGCCGAGCGCCAGAGGGAGUUCCCGGGGAGCCUGGGGCGGCGCAGGAGCCGGGACGCGCACAGGCAAAGCCUGUGACCUCAGCCCUCGUUCGACCUCCUCAAGGACCUCGACCUACGGGACCGCGCGCUCUGGGGGCACCUCUUUACCCUACCAUGGGAGCAUUAGUGUUGAUGACCUUAGUUACUAUUUCGAUAAAUAGUAAUAGCUAAAUUAGAAGUACUUUCGCAUAGAAGUUCAUGUUCUAAGUCGUUCUACCGAUGGUGUAUGUUCUUAUUACGUUUUAAGUCACCUUGACUUCAUACGGAAACGGAAAGUUUACUGCGACUAUAACUACUGAAGCAUAAUACCGACCAACCAAAACGUGCGUUCUAUCUGCACGAUUCUCGUCGAUUGAAUCGUUAACUCGAGAGGUAACUCGUUUGUUAUUCACGACCUAGUUCUUUACAAAAAGACGGUUUACUUAGACUACUAUGGGUAGAAAGAUAACGGUGUAGUUCAUAACUCGCCGAUCAAAGACCAGAACUUCUAAUACGUGAGAGUGUACCCUUGUGUACACUGUUCACACUACGUACAACAUACUUAUCUCUAGCAGACUUCCGGCCUUGACCUAGACGGUUCUUAAGUCUGUCUUCUUCUCUAUUUCCCGAUGAACAACUUUAUCGGUAUUACCAACGCGUAUGACGUAGACUAGACUCAACGACCUACCAAUUAACAAGUAGAUGAGUCCAAAACGUAAAAGUCCUGAAGUAUGGGACGGGGUAAAGUGUCAGUAGGAAGUUACACGAGUACUCAUACCUGACCGUUUCGAAGCCAAAGUUCAAUUUUCCUCCAAAGUACCUACUGCUUCCUUUACGACACGAACUCACCCUAUUGGACUGUAAACGAGCACAACUAUAACGGUAAGUGUGAAUGGUACCUUAUCAUGUUCUUACCGUCUCUAGACUUGGUCUAUUUAUACAACACUCCUUCCGUGAAUUCGAACGUAACGUAUUGGACUUUCGUCUAGUACGACCUCUCAAAUAGUCAACAGUACCUUUCUUCUAGGAGCUUAUGCAGGGGCUGGAGCGCGUCAGCUAGCGGCCGGACUAGAGCAGCAGGUUGCUGGCUCUCAAGGCUCUGCUUACGCGGCGUGAGGAGCCCGACCCGAGGCCAGUUCUGCAGAGCCUUCCCCGCCAGUCCAGGACGUAGUCGCUGUUCUACCGGGCGUAGUAUCUCUACCCGCUGCCGUUCCUCUUUCGGCUGCUGUCGCGCGGCGGCGGGAUGGACAAGCUCACGCUCUUCGACCUACUUCUGUCGGGCGACGACCUGCUUCUCCUACCUCUGCUCCUGUACUAAAAACUAAAGAUCGUAGCAUCAGUUGAUCCUCAUACUAUACUGUCGGGACGAUCUAUUCAAAUAUAUGCGACUACUGUUCACAGCGACGAAGGAAGAGGGCAUACGUUUUACAUAUUUGUAGUGCAUAUACAGCA